GACAGAGGGGGCAAGCGUUGCUCGGAAUCACUGGGCGUAAAGGGCGCGUAGGCGGGAUGGCAAGUCAGUCGUGAAAUCUCUCGGCUCAACCGAGAAACGUCGGCUGAUACUGCCGUUCUUGAGGGAUGCAGAGGAGACUGGAAUUCCCGGUGUAGCGGUGAAAUGUGUAGAGAUGGGGGAGAACACUCGUGGCGAAGGCGGCCAGCUAGACCAGUUCUGACACUGAGGCGCGACAGCGUGGGGAGCAAACAGG
RNAcentral lists this ribosomal RNA (253 nucleotides) under uncultured bacterium. RNAcentral describes it as "partial 16S ribosomal RNA". It matches the Rfam family "Bacterial small subunit ribosomal RNA", at positions 524 to 776 of the family's 1533-position model. The record is from RNAcentral.